AGUGAACGCUGGCGGUAGGCCUAACACAUGCAAGUCGAACGGCAGCACAGUAAGAGCUUGCUCUUACGGGUGGCGAGUGGCGGACGGGUGAGGAAUACAUCGGGAUCUACUUUUUCGUGGGGGAUAACGUAGGGAAACUUACGCUAAUACCGCAUACGACCUACGGGUGAAAGCAGGGGAUCUUCGGACCUUGCGCGAUUGAAUGAGCCGAUGUCGGAUUAGCUAGUUGGCGGGGUAAAGGCCCACCAAGGCGACGAUCCGUAGCUGGUCUGAGAGGAUGAUCAGCCACACUGGAACUGGGACACGGUCCAGACUCCUACGGGAGGCAGCAGUGGGGAAUAUUGGACAAUGGGCGCAAGCCUGAUCCAGCCAUACCGCGUGGGUGAAGAAGGCCUUCGGGUUGUAAAGCCCUUUUGUUGGGAAAGAAAAGCAGCAGGUUAAUACCCCGCUGUUCUGACGGUACCCAAAGAAUAAGCACCGGCUAACUUCGUG
Molecule: ribosomal RNA, 492 nt
Filed under: uncultured bacterium
Lineage: Bacteria
Description: partial 16S ribosomal RNA
Rfam family: Bacterial small subunit ribosomal RNA
Source: RNAcentral